AGUCUUUUGUGAGAGGCAGGGCUUGUAGGCAUAUUUCAGUGGGUCCACUUAUUAAAGAAGCCUACAUUUUUCUCCAUAUAUUCUAAGAAACACCUGUUUCAUCAUAGGUCUGAGCAGACAGACAGAAGCCAGCACAACUGCAGGAGAAAUGAAAUGAGGUUCUAAGCCACCUUACAGCUUAUAUUGGCCCCACCAGUCUUUUUGUUCAUUGGUUACGUGAGUCAAAUUUAUAUCCCUAAAUCCGGAAUAUGCUGCCUCCAGAAUCCAAAGAAGCCUGAGAAGCAUGGUGAUUCCUUCUUAGUGGUGGAAAGAAUGAGUUAUACACAAGAUGAAUGGAUUAACCACUGGAAGACCUGCACUACUACAAAUGUUAAAGAAAGUCCUUCCAAGAAAGAAAAAAGGCAACUUAAUGGAAACUUGUGUCUACCAAAUGGAAAGAAGAGCAAUGGGAAUCCUAACUACGGUACACUGAAGAACACUUUUGCAGCUGACUAACAACUCUUGAUAUUGAGAAAGUUAUCAGAAUUAUUUGCAAAUCUCCUCUCAGAUUUGCAAAGGAUGCUGGCAUUUCUCCAUGAGGCAGGAGUGUGAGAAAAAAAGUUGAAUGUGGUGAUGGGGAAAACACUGAAGUUCAAAAGAAGCGAAGACAAGAAGCUACUCAUGGCAGCAGCUUUUCCCAUAAAUCAAGAAAUGCUACAGAUUAUAAAUGAGAUGAGACUAUCAAGAAGAGACCUAAUAGGAGUGUGAAGACCAAAAAUUUAAAAGACGUGGUUAUAUACUUUGAGUAAACUCUAUAUAUAGGACAAUGUUAUUGUUUGGUUCUGUGUUCCUCACUCAAAUCUCACCUCAAAUUAUAAUCCCCAUGUGUCAAGGGCAGGACCAGGUGGAAGUAACUGGAUCAUGGGGGAAGUUUUCCUCAUGCUUUUCUCAUAGUAAGUGAGUUCUCAUAAGAUCUGAUUUUUUUAUAAGCAUAUGGCAUUUCCCCUCCUAGCAUUUUGCCUCCUGCUGCCUUGCAAAGACGGCAGUUGCUUCCCCUUUGCCUUCCGCCAUGACUGUAAGUUCCCUGAGUCCUCUCCAGCCAUGUGGAACUGUGGGUUAAUUAAAUCUCUUUCCUUAUAAAUUACCCAGUCUUGGGCAGUUCUUUAUAGCAGUGUGAAACUGGACUAAAAUAGAAAAUUGGUACCAGGAGAGUGAGGCACUGCUGUAAAGACAUCACUAUAAAGGCACCUGAAAAUGGAAGCAACUUUGGAACUAGCUAAUGGGCAGAGGUUGGAACCAUUUGCAGGGUUCAGAAGAAGACAUGAAGAUGUGGGAAAGUUUGGAAAUUCCUGGAGACUUGUUGAAUGCUUUGACGAAAAUGCUGAUACUGAUAUGGACAAUAAAUUUCAGGCUGAGAUGCUCUCAGAUACAAAUAAAGAACUUGUUGGGAACUGGAAUAAAGGUGACUAUUUGCUAUAUAUGCUUUAGCAAAGAGACUGGUGGCAUUUUGCCUCUGUCCUAGAGAUCUGUGGAGCUUUGAACAUGAGAAAGAUGAUUUAGAAUAUCUGGUGGAAGAAAUUUAUAUGCAGCAAAGUGUUCAAGAAGUGACUCGGGUGCUCUUAAAACCAUUCAGUUGUAUGCAUUCACAAAGAUAUGGUUUGGAAUUGGAACUUAUGUUUAAAAGGGAAGCAGAGAAUAAGAGUUCAGAAAAUUUGCAGCCUGAUGAUGCAAUAGAAAAGAAAAAUCUCAUUUUCUGGGGAGAAAUUCAAGCCUGCUGCAGAAAUUUGCGUAAGUAACAAGGAGACAAAUGUUAGUCACCAAGACAAUGGAGAAUAUGGCCUCAGUCAAUGUCGGAUGUCUUCACUGCAAGCCCUCCAAUCACAGGCCUGAAGGAUUGGAGAGAAAAAAUAAUUUUGUGGGCAAGGCCCAGGGACUUGCUGCUUUGUGCAGUCUCUGAACUUGGUGCCCUGCAUCCCAGCUGUGUCUAAUAGUGGCCAACAUACAGCUCAGGCCAUUGCUUUAGAGGGUGAAAGCCCCAAGCCAUGGUGUCUUACAUGUGGUUUUGGGCCUGCAGAUGCACAGAUGUCAAGAAUUGAGGUUUGAGAACCUCCACCUAGAUUUCAGAGGAUGUAUGGAAACUCUUGGAUGUCCAGGCAGAAGAGUACUACAGGGGCAGAGCUCUCCAUGGAGAACAUCUGCUAGGGCAGUGCAGAGUCCCCACUGGGGCGCUGACUAGUGGAGCUGUGAGAAGAAGGCCACCAACCUCCAGACCCCAGAAUGGUAGAUCCACCAACAUCUUGCAUCGUACACCUAGAAAAGUCACAGACGCUCAACAACACCUCAUGAAAGUAGCCAGGAGAGGCGCUGUAUCCUGCAAAGCCACAGAGGCAGAGCUGCCCAAGGCUGUGGUAUCCCACCUCCUACAUCAGUGUGAUUGGAUGUGAGACAUGUAGUCAAAUGAGGUCAUUUUGGAACUUUUAAGACUUAAUGACUGCUUUAUUGUAUUUUGGACUUGCAUGAGGCUUGUAGCCCCUUUGUUUUAGCCAGUUUAUCUCAUUUGGAAUGGGACUAUUUAUCCAAAGCCUGUACCCCAUUGUAUCUAGGAAGUAACUGACUUGCUUUGGAUUUUACAAGCUCAUAGGCAGAAGGGACUUCCCUUGUCUCAGAUGAGACUUUGGACUGUGGCCUUUUGAGUUAAUGUUAAAAUGAGUUAAGACUUUGAGGAACUGUUGGGGAGGCAUGAUUAGUUUUGAAAUGUAAAAAGACAUGAGAUUUGGGAGGGGCCAAGGACAGAAUAAUACGGUUUGGCUCUGUGUCCCCUUCCAAAUUUCACCUUUAAUUGUAAUCGCCAUAACCCCCACAUGUCAAUGGUGGAAACAGGUAGAGGUAAUUGGAUCGUGGAGGCAGUUUCUUCUAUGCUGUUAUUCAUGAUAGCGAAUGAGUUUUCAUGAGAUCUGAUGGUUUUAUAAGCAUCUGGCAUUUCUUCUGCUUGCACUUCUCAUUCCUGCCACCUUGUGAAGAAGGUGCUUUUCUUCCCAUUUGCGUUCAACCAUUAUUAUAAGUUUCCAGAGGCAAACCCAGCCACACAGAAGUGUGAGUCAAUUAAACCUCUUUUUUAAUAAAUUACCACUCUCAAACAGUUCUUUAUGGCAGUAUGAAGACAGACUAACACAGAAAGAUAUAGCUGUUUUGGAAACAUCAGAAGUACAGUUGUAGCAAUAAAUAAAAUAUGAAUAGAUUAACUUUCGUACACCUAUUUGUGUUGAAAGCACCAGGAGUCAUAGCCAACAAUCACUUUAAUAUUUCUCCAGCUAAUUCUUCUGAUUUAUUUUUAUGUUUGGUUAGCCAGUGACUUCCCCACUAGCUAAAAAAUAUUUUUAAAAGUAUGUAUGUGUUAAUAUAUCUUGACUACUUUUUAAUUUUCCAAUUAAAAAAUAAAUCACACUUUAAUCUCUGUGUCUUGAUUUUUCUCAUUUAAGAAGAGCUCAUUGACUUAGGGGCUACAUACUAUAUGACAAGUUACAUAAAUCACAAUUUUCUUAAAUAUUUCCCUAUUGAUGGUUACUCAGUUUUAUUUUUUUUAUUUUUGCCAUUAGUAACAGUGAAGAAAUUAAUGAUCUUGCAUUUAAAUUUUAAGUACAGGUGAUUGGCUUCUUUUUACAACAUUAAAGAGUUGUAAUUGACAUACAAUAAACUGUAAUUAUAUAGUAGG
Molecule: long non-coding RNA, 3691 nt
Filed under: Homo sapiens (human)
Lineage: Eukaryota; Metazoa; Chordata; Mammalia; Primates; Hominidae
Description: uncharacterized LOC105377253, transcript variant 4 (LOC105377253)
Source: RNAcentral